UAAUAUCAGCUGAGAUCAACAUGUUUGCGAAGUGUAUUACUUUCAGGGUGGUUGUACGCAAAUUGAUAAAUACGUUUUCAGACUGCAAGUGUUGUUGUUGUUGUUGUUGUUGUUACUGUUGAUAGUCAAGUCACUGCGUACAUAGACGUGACGUCCAGCUGUGGAAGCUGAGUGAGGAUAGGAGAAGGUUCUCUAUCCAAGAAACCAUUGGAUGAUAUCACAGUGCUGGUUGGGGAUUUUCUUGGGAAUGAGUCUAGAAUAAUUCAUGGGAUAAACCACGCUGGUUAUGACAUAGGAAAUCAUGAUAUUCCCAGCUGGAGGAUGCUGUGUUCUCAAAGGGAUGUGAAUGCCAGUACUCCAGAGGAAGUUAUUCUCUAUGUGUCUGAGGAGGAUGACUACACUCCCCACCAGCUUCAACCCCAACCUCAUAUUUAGACCAAAUUGUAACACAGCUUGUGUCUCCUAUACUUGCAUCCUCUAUAAUACCAAUGCCGGAGUCCCCAAACCUCCACAACAGAAGGACUUGCUCCAACAGAUCCUCAAAGCUGAUCUCCACAAAGCACAGAACCGGCAAUGGGCAGAGGAAGCCAGGUAGCGAGCAGAGGAAGCCAAGCUGCAGACUUAGGAGGCCCGCAAGGAGGCAUAUGUUUCCCAGAGGCAGGCUUUUGAUUUAGUGCCAAAAUACUUCAGUAAUAAGUAGAUAGUGAAACAGUGAGAACUCUUUUAAGUGCAAUGAUUAAAGUUAAACAAAGUU
Long non-coding RNA from Scylla paramamosain (green mud crab), 754 nucleotides. RefSeq lists it as uncharacterized. NCBI's taxonomy places the organism in Eukaryota, Metazoa, Arthropoda, Malacostraca, Decapoda, Portunidae. The record is from RefSeq and is a predicted model, not a curated record. The transcript is spliced from 3 exons.